This 274-nucleotide ribosomal RNA is filed under the name uncultured bacterium. Its description in RNAcentral is "partial 16S ribosomal RNA". It matches the Rfam family "Bacterial small subunit ribosomal RNA", at positions 523 to 796 of the family's 1533-position model. The record is from RNAcentral.
AUACGGAGGGUGCAAGCGUUAAUCGGAAUUACUGGGCGUAAAGCGCGCGUAGGCGGUUUAGUCAGUCAGAUGUGAAAGCCCCGGGCUCAACCUGGGAACUGCAUUUGAUACUGCUGAACUAGAGUAUGGUAGAGGGAAGUGGAAUUCCGGGUGUAGCGGUGAAAUGCGUAGAUAUCCGGAGGAACACCAGUGGCGAAGGCGACUUCCUGGACCAAUACUGACGCUGAGGUGCGAAAGCGUGGGUAGCAAACAGGAUUAGAUACCCCUGUAGUCC